UGAACGCUGGCGGUGUGCUUAACACAUGCAAGUCGAACGAGAACGGUACUAGCUUGCUAGUAUGUCAGCUAAGUGGCGGACGGGUGAGUAAUGUAUAGUUAAUCUGCCCUUUAGAGGGGGAUAACAGUUGGAAACGACUGCUAAUACCCCAUACUCCUUUUAUCUUAAUGAUAAUUGGGAAAUGUUUUUUCGCUAAAGGAUGAGACUAUAUGGUAUCAGGUAGUUGGUGGGGUAAGAGCCUACCAAGCCAAUGACGCCUAGCUGGUCUGAGAGGAUGAUCAGCCACACUGGAACUGAGACACGGUCCAGACUCCUACGGGAGGCAGCAGUGGGGAAUAUUGCACAAUGGAGGAAACUCUGAUGCAGAAACACCGCGUGGAGGAUGACACAUUUCGGUGCGUAAACUCCUUUUAUAUGGGAAGAUAAUGACGGUACCAUAUGAAUAAGCACCGGCUAACUCC
RNAcentral lists this ribosomal RNA (461 nucleotides) under uncultured bacterium. RNAcentral describes it as "bacterial SSU rRNA". It matches the Rfam family "Bacterial small subunit ribosomal RNA", at positions 30 to 504 of the family's 1533-position model. The record is from RNAcentral.